UCUCCGUUGGUGGACCAGCGGAGGGAUCAUUACAGAGUUGCAAAACUCCCAAACCAUUGUGAACGUUACCUAUCCCGUUGCUUCGGCGGGCGGCCCGGGCCCCGCGCCCGGCGCCCCCCGGCCCCCCGUGGGCGCCCGCCGGAGGUAAACCAAACCCUUGAAUUGCAUGGCCUCUCUGAGUCUUCUGUACUGAAUAAGUCAAGACUUUCAACAACGGAUCUCUUGGUUCUGGCAUCGAUGAAGAACGCAAC
This 251-nucleotide unclassified non-coding RNA is filed under the name plant metagenome. Its description in RNAcentral is "partial contains small subunit ribosomal RNA, internal transcribed spacer 1, and 5.8S ribosomal RNA". The stretch from base 203 to 251 matches the Rfam family "5.8S ribosomal RNA", at positions 1 to 49 of the family's 154-position model. The record is from RNAcentral.